Molecule: ribosomal RNA, 1442 nt
Filed under: Lactiplantibacillus plantarum
Lineage: Bacteria; Bacillati; Bacillota; Bacilli; Lactobacillales; Lactobacillaceae
Description: Lactobacillus plantarum partial 16S ribosomal RNA
Rfam family: Bacterial small subunit ribosomal RNA
Source: RNAcentral
AUUCUAGAGUUUGAUCAUGGCUCAGGACGAACGCUGGCGGCGUGCCUAAUACAUGCAAGUCGAACGAACUCUGGUAUUGAUUGGUGCUUGCAUCAUGAUUUACAUUUGAGUGAGUGGCGAACUGGUGAGUAACACGUGGGAAACCUGCCCAGAAGCGGGGGAUAACACCUGGAAACAGAUGCUAAUACCGCAUAACAACUUGGACCGCAUGGUCCGAGCUUGAAAGAUGGCUUCGGCUAUCACUUUUGGAUGGUCCCGCGGCGUAUUAGCUAGAUGGUGGGGUAACGGCUCACCAUGGCAAUGAUACGUAGCCGACCUGAGAGGGUAAUCGGCCACAUUGGGACUGAGACACGGCCCAAACUCCUACGGGAGGCAGCAGUAGGGAAUCUUCCACAAUGGACGAAAGUCUGAUGGAGCAACGCCGCGUGAGUGAAGAAGGGUUUCGGCUCGUAAAACUCUGUUGUUAAAGAAGAACAUAUCUGAGAGUAACUGUUCAGGUAUUGACGGUAUUUAACCAGAAAGCCACGGCUAACUACGUGCCAGCAGCCGCGGUAAUACGUAGGUGGCAAGCGUUGUCCGGGAUUUAUUGGGCGUAAAGCGAGCGCAGGCGGUUUUUUAAGUCUGAUGUGAAAGCCUUCGGCUCAACCGAAGAAGUGCAUCGGAAACUGGGAAACUUGAGUGCAGAAGAGGACAGUGGAACUCCAUGUGUAGCGGUGAAAUGCGUAGAUAUAUGGAAGAACACCAGUGGCGAAGGCGGCUGUCUGGUCUGUAACUGACGCUGAGGCUCGAAAGUAUGGGUAGCAAACAGGAUUAGAUACCCUGGUAGUCCAUACCGUAAACGAUGAAUGCUAAGUGUUGGAGGGUUUCCGCCCUUCAGUGCUGCAGCUAACGCAUUAAGCAUUCCGCCUGGGGAGUACGGCCGCAAGGCUGAAACUCAAAGGAAUUGACGGGGGCCCGCACAAGCGGUGGAGCAUGUGGUUUAAUUCGAAGCUACGCGAAGAACCUUACCAGGUCUUGACAUACUAUGCAAAUCUAAGAGAUUAGACGUUCCCUUCGGGGACAUGGAUACAGGUGGUGCAUGGUUGUCGUCAGCUCGUGUCGUGAGAUGUUGGGUUAAGUCCCGCAACGAGCGCAACCCUUAUUAUCAGUUGCCAGCAUUAAGUUGGGCACUCUGGUGAGACUGCCGGUGACAAACCGGAGGAAGGUGGGGAUGACGUCAAAUCAUCAUGCCCCUUAUGACCUGGGCUACACACGUGCUACAAUGGAUGGUACAACGAGUUGCGAACUCGCGAGAGUAAGCUAAUCUCUUAAAGCCAUUCUCAGUUCGGAUUGUAGGCUGCAACUCGCCUACAUGAAGUCGGAAUCGCUAGUAAUCGCGGAUCAGCAUGCCGCGGUGAAUACGUUCCCGGGCCUUGUACACACCGCCCGUCACACGGUACCAU